This 354-nucleotide unclassified non-coding RNA is filed under the name soil metagenome. Its description in RNAcentral is "partial contains 5.8S ribosomal RNA, internal transcribed spacer 2, and large subunit ribosomal RNA". The stretch from base 1 to 120 matches the Rfam family "5.8S ribosomal RNA", at positions 35 to 154 of the family's 154-position model. The record is from RNAcentral.
GAUGAAGAACGCAGCGAAAUGCGAUAAGUAAUGUGAAUUGCAGAAUUCCGUGAAUCAUCGAAUCUUUGAACGCACAUUGCGCCCCCUGGCAUUCCGGGGGGCAUGCCUGUCCGAGCGUCAUUUCUGCCCUCCAGCCCGGCUGGGUGUUGGGCGCUGUCCCCCCGGGGACACGCCCCAAAGGCAGUGGCGGCGCCGCGUCGGGUCCUCGAGCGUAUGGGGCUUUGUCACCCGCUCGGGACGGACUCGUCGGCGCUGGUCUUCCUCCAGGCGACCCUUCGGGGCUCGUCUUCCUUCGGUUGACCUCGGAUCAGGUAGGGUUACCCGCUGAACUUAAGAAUAUCAAUAAGCGGAGGA